This 253-nucleotide ribosomal RNA is filed under the name uncultured prokaryote. RNAcentral describes it as "partial 16S ribosomal RNA". It matches the Rfam family "Bacterial small subunit ribosomal RNA", at positions 525 to 777 of the family's 1533-position model. The record is from RNAcentral.
ACGUAGGGUGCAAGCGUUAAUCGGAAUUACUGGGCGUAAAGCGUGCGCAGGCGGAUGUUUAAGCCAGAUGUGAAAUCCCCGAGCUUAACUUGGGAAUUGCGUUUGGAACUGGACGUCUAGAGUCUGUCAGAGGGGGAUGGAAUUCCUGGUGUAGCGGUGAAAUGCGCAGAUAUCAGGAAGAACACCCGUGGCGAAGGCGGCUCUCUGGGACGGUACUGACGCUGAGACGCGAAAGCGUGGGGAGCGAACAGGA